UUUCAUAACUUGAUGAAUGCGUGAUAGGAAAGUAGAGUGGUGCAAUAAACGGAGAAAAUUUGGGAAACGCGACAGCAUAAUUUGUGGUAGUGGGGGACUGUGUUCACGCUCACCCCUU
Molecule: small nuclear RNA, 118 nt
Filed under: Nannospalax galili (Upper Galilee mountains blind mole rat)
Lineage: Eukaryota; Metazoa; Chordata; Mammalia; Rodentia; Spalacidae
Description: U1 spliceosomal RNA (ENSNGAG00000001681.1)
Source: RNAcentral